Molecule: non-coding RNA, 73 nt
Organism: Phrynosoma platyrhinos (Desert horned lizard)
Lineage: Eukaryota; Metazoa; Chordata; Lepidosauria; Squamata; Phrynosomatidae
Source: the annotation of a GenBank genome assembly
GGCUGGCGUGGUGUAGUGGUUUGCACGUUGCAGUAUGACUCUGCAGACCAGGGUUUGAAACCCGGGUCAGCCA